The sequence is a transfer RNA, 101 nucleotides long. It matches the Rfam family "tRNA". Rfam says of the family: Transfer RNA (tRNA) molecules are approximately 80 nucleotides in length. Their secondary structure includes four short double-helical elements and three loops (D, anti-codon, and T loops). The record is from Rfam.
GGCAACUUGGCGGAGUGGUUAACGCGAUUGACUAGAAGCCGAGCUCAGCUGGCAGCUAUCAAUUUCCUUCGGGAGCGCAUGUUCGAAUCAUGCAGUUGUCG